AUACAUGCAAGUCGAACGAACUCUGGUAUUGAUUGGUGCUUGCAUCAUGAUUUACAUUUGAGUGAGUGGCGAACUGGUGAGUAACACGUGGGAAACCUGCCCAGAAGCGGGGGAUAACACCUGGAAACAGAUGCUAAUACCGCAUAACAACUUGGACCGCAUGGUCCGAGUUUGAAAGAUGGCUUCGGCUAUCACUUUUGGAUGGUCCCGCGGCGUAUUAGCUAGAUGGUGGGGUAACGGCUCACCAUGGCAAUGAUACGUAGCCGACCUGAGAGGGUAAUCGGCCACAUUGGGACUGAGACACGGCCCAAACUCCUACGGGAGGCAGCAGUAGGGAAUCUUCCACAAUGGACGAAAGUCUGAUGGAGCAACGCCGCGUGAGUGAAGAAGGGUUUCGGCUCGUAAAACUCUGUUGUUAAAGAAGAACAUAUCUGAGAGUAACUGUUCAGGUAUUGACGGUAUUUAACCAGAAAGCCACGGCUAACUACGUGCCAGCAGCCGCGGUAAUACGUAGGUGGCAAGCGUUGUCCGGAUUUAUUGGGCGUAAAGCGAGCGCAGGCGGUUUUUUAAGUCUGAUGUGAAAGCCUUCGGCUCAACCGAAGAAGUGCAUCGGAAACUGGGAAACUUGAGUGCAGAAGAGGACAGUGGAACUCCAUGUGUAGCGGUGAAAUGCGUAGAUAUAUGGAAGAACACCAGUGGCGAAAGCGGCUGUCUGGUCUGUAACUGACGCUGAGGCUCGAAAGUAUGGGUAGCAAACAGGAUUAGAUACCCUGGUAGUCCAUACCGUAAACGAUGAAUGCUAAGUGUUGGAGGGUUUCCGCCCUUCAGUGCUGCAGCUAACGCAUUAAGCAUUCCGCCUGGGGAGUACGGCCGCAAGGCUGAAACUCAAGAGAAUUGACGGGGGCCCGCACAAGCGGUGGAGCAUGUGGUUUAAUUCGAAGCUACGCGAAGAGCCUUACCAGGUUCUGACAUACUAUGCAAAUCUAAGAGAAUAGACGUUACCUUCAGGGACAUGAAUACAGGUGGUGCAUGAUUGUCGUCAGCUCAGGUCGUGCCAUGCUGGCUAAGUCCCGCUACGAGCGCAACCAUUAUUAUCAGUUGCCAGCAUU
RNAcentral lists this ribosomal RNA (1109 nucleotides) under Lactiplantibacillus plantarum. RNAcentral describes it as "bacterial SSU rRNA". It matches the Rfam family "Bacterial small subunit ribosomal RNA", at positions 51 to 1125 of the family's 1533-position model. Lineage: Bacteria; Bacillati; Bacillota; Bacilli; Lactobacillales; Lactobacillaceae. The record is from RNAcentral.